ACGGGUGAGUAACACGUGGAUAACCUACCUAUAAGACUGGGAUAACUUCGGGAAACCGGAGCUAAUACCAGAUAACAUGUUGAACCGCAUGGUUCAACAGUGAAAGACGGUCUUGCUGUCACUUAUAGAUGGAUCCGCGCCGCAUUAGCUAGUUGGUAAGGUAACGGCUUACCAAGGCAACGAUGCGUAGCCGACCUGAGAGGGUGAUCGGCCACACUGGAACUGAGACACGGUCCAGACUCCUACGGGAGGCAGCAGUAGGGAAUCUUCCGCAAUGGGCGAAAGCCUGACGGAGCAACGCCGCGUGAGUGAUGAAGGUCUUCGGAUCGUAAAACUCUGUUAUUAGGGAAGAACAAAUGUGUAAGUAACUAUGCACGUCUUGACGGUACCUAAUCAGAAAGCCACGGCUAACUACGUGCCAGCAGCCGCGGUAAUACGUAGGUGGCAAGCGUUAUCCGGAAUUAUUGGGCGUAAAGCGCGCGUAGGCGGUUUUUUAAGUCUGAUGUGAAAGCCCACGGCUCAACCGUGGAGGGUCAUUGGAAACUGGAAAACUUGAGUGCAGAAGAGGAAAGUGGAAUU
RNAcentral lists this ribosomal RNA (579 nucleotides) under uncultured bacterium. Its description in RNAcentral is "bacterial SSU rRNA". It matches the Rfam family "Bacterial small subunit ribosomal RNA", at positions 102 to 668 of the family's 1533-position model. The record is from RNAcentral. RNAcentral also lists the same sequence under 1 other name.